Molecule: long non-coding RNA, 1291 nt
Organism: Bos taurus (domestic cattle)
Lineage: Eukaryota; Metazoa; Chordata; Mammalia; Artiodactyla; Bovidae
Source: Ensembl
AAAGAGGUUGCUAUAGAUUGAAUAUUUGUGUCUCCCCCUCACCAAAAUCCAUAUGUUGAAACCCAGCUCCCCCAAAUGAUGGGGCCUCUGGGAGGUGAUUAGAUCGUGAGGGUGAAUGGGGUUGAAUGAAUCCCACAUGAAUGGGAUUUGCCCUCAUAACAAAGACACCAGCCAGCUCCCCCAGCCCUUCUGCCAUGAGAGGAUGCAGCAAGAAGACACAGCUGUCUGUGAACCAGGAAGCAGGACCUCACCUGACACCAUAUCUUCCGACACCUUGAUCUUGGACUUCCCAACCUCCAGAACUGUGGGAAAACACCUUCCAACAAGGGCGGUGAUUCACACUUACUGAAGGCUCACUUGCUAUCUUGUUUGGAUUUCCCUGUUCACGCUACUCCAAGGAGAAGACAUGGGAAUCACCAUCGACAUUUUAUGGCCAAAGAACCCCAGGCAACCGGCCAGCCCUCAAGGUCUCCCAGGAAGGGAGGCGGUCUUUGACCCAGACCCAGUGUCGCCUCCAUCAUGCCUCCUUGACCUUGAAACCAUGCCUCCUUGAUCUUGAAGGCUCCUCCAGAAAAAGGAACACUGGCUCCAAGGCAUAAUCAAAGGAGAUGUGCAGCAUUCCUAAGCACAGUCAGACAUUUCCUGGGAGUACAGGAGCUUCAGCUUGAUCAUUAGUUGUCACAACUUCACUGGCCUCCAUCAGCAGAGCUAGCCAUGCCUCUGACUUUGAAAACAAAGGAUGCAGAAAAGCAGAGAUGCCUCCCACUUAUAAAAGUAUGUGAAGCCUGUAGUCUGAUGAUAUUAUUUUAGUAUCCAUCAUACAGUACUUUCUAGGAGAAGGCAAUGGCACCCCACUCCAGUCCUUUUGCCUGGGAAAUCCCAUGGGCGGAGGAGCCUGGUAGGCUGCAGUCCAUGGGGUCGCUAGGAGUCAGACACGACUGAGCGACUUCACUUUCACUUUUCACUUUGAUGCAUUGGAGAAGGAAAUGGCAACCCACUCCAGUGUUCUUGCCUGGAGAAUGCCGGGGAUGGAGGAGCCUGGUGGGCUGCCGUCUAUGGGGUCGCACACAGUCGGACACGACUGAAGCGACUUAGCAGCAGCAGCAGCAUACUUUACAUCUUUCUCCCUUCCUCCAGGGCACUUGUAAACAAGGGAUAUAUAUGUUACAUUUCUCCUCCAUGCCUUGGUCUAGUCCUCACUCUGACAUUCCCAGCCAAAGUAGAUUAACUCAGAAGUUGGCAGUCUCUCCUGCUGGCCUGUGUCCGUGCUUAUAUAUGUGUGUGUGUGCAC